This 2046-nucleotide ribosomal RNA is filed under the name Gluconacetobacter azotocaptans. RNAcentral describes it as "partial 23S ribosomal RNA". It matches the Rfam family "Bacterial large subunit ribosomal RNA", at positions 709 to 2628 of the family's 2925-position model. The record is from RNAcentral. Lineage: Bacteria; Pseudomonadati; Pseudomonadota; Alphaproteobacteria; Acetobacterales; Acetobacteraceae.
CUGGACCCGAAGCGGGGUGAUCUACCCAUGGCCAGUGUGAAGCGGUGGUAAAACAUUGUGGAGGCGCGAACCCACUUAGGUAAAAACUGAGGGGAUGAGCUGUGGGUAGGGGUGAAAGGCCAAUCAAACUCUGUGAUAGCUGGUUCUCCCCGAAAUGCAUUUAGGUGCAGCGUUGCGUGGUUCUUGUUGGAGGUAGAGCUACUGGAUGGCCGAUGGGCCCGUAUGGGUUACUGACGUCAGCCAAACUCCGAAUGCCGGUAAGUGAGAGUGUAGCAGUGAGACAGUGGGGGAUAAGCUUCAUUGUCGAGAGGGAAACAGCCCAGACCAUCAACUAAGGCCCCUAAGCGUGUGCUAAGUGGGAAAGGAUGUGGAGUUGCUGAGACAACCAGGAGGUUGGCUUAGAAGCAGCCAUCCUUGAAAGAGUGCGUAAUAGCUCACUGGUCAAGUGAUUCUGCGCCGAUAAUGUAGCGGGGCUCAAGUACACCGCCGAAGUUGUGGCAAUCAGCUUUUUGUGGCUGGUUGGGUAGGGGAGCGUCCUGCACGAGGUGAAGCCUGGAGGGAACUUCUGGUGGAUUGUGUGGGAGUGAGAAUGCAGGCAUGAGUAACGAAUCUGCGGUGAGAAUCCGCAGCGCCGAUUGACUAAGGGUUCCAGGGCUAGGUUUGUCUGCCCUGGGUGAGUCGGGUCCUAAGGCGAGGCCGACAGGCGUAGUCGAUGGGUAACCAGUUGAUAUUCUGGUACCGGCUUGUCACCGUCCGUGUCGAGGUGUGUGAUGCUAAGCAUGUGAGCUUGUCUUGGGAGUGUUUUUGAUGCUUCUGGGGUGGGUGAGUGUGUGAACCGAUCAUGUAGUAGGCAAGCUGCGGAGGGACGCAGUGAGGUAGCUCAUCCCCGGUGAUGGUUGUCCGGGGCUAAGUGUGUGGACUGUCUGGUAGGUAAAUCCGCUGGGCGUGAAGGUUGAGGCAUGAUGGGGAGCCCAUGGUUGUGGGUGAGUGAGUGAUCCUGUACUGUCGAGAAAAGCUUCGUGAGCGAGGUGGCGGGUCCGCCCGUACCCUAAACCGACACUGGUGGAUAGGUAGAGUAUACCGAGGCGAUCGAGUGAAUCGUGGUGAAGGAACUCGGCAAAAUGCCCCCGUAACUUUGGGAUAAGGGGGACCUGAGCUGUCGUGCACCCGUGCGGUGUGGUGGCGGUGAGGGGCGCAGAGUCCAGGGGGAAACGACUGUUUACCAAAAACACAGGUCCGUGCGAAGUCGUAAGACGAUGUAUACGGACUGACUCCUGCCCGGUGCUGGAAGGUUAAGAGGAGUGCUUAGCGGUAACGCGAAGGUAUGAAUUGAAGCCCCAGUAAACGGCGGCCGUAACUAUAACGGUCCUAAGGUAGCGAAAUUCCUUGUCGGGUAAGUUCCGACCCGCACGAAAGGCGUAACGAUUUGGGCACUGUCUCAACGAUGGACUCGGUGAAAUCAUAGUACCUGUGAAGAUGCAGGUUACCCGCGACAGGACGGAAAGACCCCAUGGAGCUUUACUGUAGCUUGAUAUUGAGUGUCUGUACCACAUGUACAGGAUAGGUAGGAGUCUAUGAGAUCGGGACGCCAGUUUCGAAGGAGACGUUGUUGGGAUACUACCCUUGUGUUAUGGCCACUCUAACCCGGAUAGGUGAUCCCUAUCGGAGACAGUGUCUGACGGGCAGUUUGACUGGGGCGGUCGCCUCCUAAAAGGUAACGGAGGCGCCCAAAGGUUCCCUCAGAAUGGUUGGAAAUCAUUCGCAGAGUGUAAAGGUAUAAGGGAGCUUGACUGCGAGAGCUACAACUCGAGCAGGGACGAAAGUCGGGCUUAGUGAUCCGGUGGUUCCGCAUGGAAGGGCCAUCGCUCAACGGAUAAAAGCUACCCUGGGGAUAACAGGCUUAUCUCCCCCAAGAGUUCACAUCGACGGGGAGGUUUGGCACCUCGAUGUCGGCUCGUCGCAUCCUGGGGCUGGAGUCGGUCCCAAGGGUUGGGCUGUUCGCCCAUUAAAGCGGCACGCGAGCUGGGUUCAGAACGUCGUGAGACA